RNAcentral lists this ribosomal RNA (482 nucleotides) under uncultured bacterium. RNAcentral's name for it is "partial 16S ribosomal RNA". It matches the Rfam family "Bacterial small subunit ribosomal RNA", at positions 30 to 507 of the family's 1533-position model. The record is from RNAcentral.
AUUGAACGCUGGCGGCAUGCCUUACACAUGCAAGUCGAACAGUAACGGGCCUUCGGGUGCCGACGAGUGGCGAACGGGCGAGUAAUACAUCGGAACGUGCCCGAUCGUGGGGGAUAACGAGGCGAAAGCUUUGCUAAUACCGCAUACGAUCUACGGAUGAAAGCAGGGGACCGCAAGGCCUUGCGCGGACGGAGCGGCCGAUGGCAGAUUAGGUAGUUGGUGGGAUAAAAGCUUACCAAGCCGACGAUCUGUAGCUGGUCUGAGAGGAUGAUCAGCCACACUGGGACUGAGACACGGCCCAGACUCCUACGGGAGGCAGCAGUGGGGAAUUUUGGACAAUGGGCGCAAGCCUGAUCCAGCCAUGCCGCGUGCAGGAUGAAGGCCUUCGGGUUGUAAACUGCUUUUGUACGGAACGAAAAGCCUUCUUUUAAUACAGGAGGGUCAUGACGGUACCGUAAGAAUAAGCACCGGCUAACUACGUG